UUUUUUGUUAGUUAAUUGUUAAACAACGCUCCGAUUUAUUUAUUAGUCGAAGAUAUUUUAUACAAAACUUUGUAUUUUUAGAACGCAUCAAAACAAGUUUUCGGUCGUCCAGAGUUGCCGCGGAAACUAAAUAAAAGCGAUCCGGUCUGACCGAGAAAUUAUCGCAUUUCGUUAAAAUAAUAUGGUGGUAACAUAUGGAUUUUGCCGGGGCAGGAGUUACUUGGAAAUGUUUGGCUGAAAAUAAAGAGAUGACGAUCAUCGGGUCGGAUGUUAGCAGGAAAUGUUGUUAAUUAUGGAUUUUUUGGCAAAUUUACAGCGACUUGAAAUGCCAGGGAAGCGACGUUGUUUGUACUUUUUAAGGAAAUUAUGUGGACAUUUAUAGGGUCGUUAAACCUGAGGCAUUUUAGGGAGAAAAAUGUCGAAAGAAAGCAAAUUAUAAGUACCUAGAAACUGGAUGUAUAUUCUAUGAAGUAUUACGCUAUUACAUUAGAUCACAUAACCAGAUACCUAAACAGUUCCACACAGUACAAGAAUUUCUCGCAUCAACUGCCUGGAAUAAACACACACAAUUAUUUGAACUGAAAAACAUUAACUCCAAGGACACAAUUGCCAUAAUUCCGAAACUCCAGAGUUACUUGGAAAUGUUUGCGCUUAAAAUAAAGAGAUGACGAUCGUCGGGUCGGAUGUUAGCAGGAAAUGUUGUUAAUUAUGGAUUUUUUGGCAAAUUUACAGCGGCUUAAAAUGCCUGGGAAGCCGAGGUUGUUGGUACUUUUUAAGGAAAUUAUGUGGACAUUUAUAGGGUCGUUAAACCUGAGGCACUUAAGAAAAAUGUCGAAAGAAAGCAAAUUAUAAGUACCUAGAAACUGGAUGUAUAUUCUAUGAAGUACUAAGCUAUUACAUUACAUCACACAACCAGAUACUUACAGUCAGUUGCACGCAGUACAAGAAUUUCUCGCAUCAAUUGCCUGGAAUAAACAGACACAAUUAUUUGAACUGAAAAACAUGAACUCCAAGGACACCAAGUCACAAGUGCCUGGAAGUUUUUUGCAGGAGCUCUCAAGUUAGUGAGCAUUUGAAGCUAUCUAUCUCUUUCUCUGGUUUCAAUUUCCUGGAAUAGAGAUUAAAUUACUUUAACUGGAAACAACUAACUGCAACCACAGCAGAUAAAUGUUUUAUCAAUGAAUAAAUAAAUGUUUAUCAAUGAAAAAAUCACUGCUAGGUAAUAAUAAUUGAAUAUUGUUUUGUCACGGGUUAUUUCAAAUCACUACUUUGAUAAAUGACUCGUCAUUAAAUCAAUCUGAGGAAAAAAAAUUAAUAUCAUUCAAGGCGUAUAAGGAAAAAACAAUGCCAGAGAUAACUUCUGGAAUUCUGGCUUGAAUCUUAUGUCUA
Long non-coding RNA from Anthonomus grandis grandis, 1389 nucleotides. RefSeq lists it as uncharacterized. The record is from RefSeq and is a predicted model, not a curated record. Lineage: Eukaryota; Metazoa; Arthropoda; Insecta; Coleoptera; Curculionidae. The transcript has 4 exons.